RNAcentral lists this ribosomal RNA (504 nucleotides) under uncultured bacterium. RNAcentral's name for it is "partial 16S ribosomal RNA". It matches the Rfam family "Bacterial small subunit ribosomal RNA", at positions 30 to 523 of the family's 1533-position model. The record is from RNAcentral.
AUUGAACGCUGGCGGCAUGCCUUACACAUGCAAGUCGAACGGCAGCAUGGAGAGCUUGCUCUCUGAUGGCGAGUGGCGAACGGGUGAGUAAUGCAUCGGAACGUACCGUGUAAUGGGGGAUAACGUAGCGAACGUUACGCUAAUACCGCAUACGACCUGAGGGGGAAAGCAGGGGAUCGCAAGACCUUGCGUUAUACGAGCGGCCGAUGUCAGAUUAGCUUGUUGGUGAGGUAAAGGCUCACCAAGGCGACGAUCUGUAGCGGGUCUGAGAGGAUGAUCCGCCACACUGGGACUGAGACACGGCCCAGACUCCUACGGGAGGCAGCAGUGGGGAAUUUUGGACAAUGGGGGCAACCCUGAUCCAGCCAUGCCGCGUGAGUGUAGAAGGCCUUCGGGUUGUAAAGCUCUUUCGGCCGGGAAGAAAUCGCACAGGCUAAUACUCUGUGUGGAUGACGGUACCGGCAUAAGAAGCACCGGCUAACUACGUGCCAGCCGCCGCCGUAA